AUUGAACGCUGGCGGCAUGCUUUACACAUGCAAGUCGAACGGUAACAGGCCGCAAGGUGCUGACGAGUGGCGCACGGGUGUGUAAUGCAUCGGAACGUGCCCAGUCGUGGGGGAUAACUACUCGAAAGAGUAGCUAAUACCGCAUACGAUCUAUGGAUGAAAGCGGGGGACCGUAAGGCCUCGCGCGAUUGGAGCGGCCGAUGUCAGAUUAGGUAGUUGGUGGGGUAAAGGCUCACCAAGCCAACGAUCUGUAGCUGGUCUGAGAGGACGACCAGCCACACUGGGACUGAGACACGGCCCAGACUCCUACGGGAGGCAGCAGUGGGGAAUUUUGGACAAUGGGCGCAAGCCUGAUCCAGCAAUGCCGCGUGCAGGAAGAAGGCCUUCGGGUUGUAAACUGCUUUUGUACGGAACGAAACGGCUCUGGUUAAUACCCGGGGCUAAUGACGGUACCGUAAGAAUAGGCACCGGCUAACUACGUG
RNAcentral lists this ribosomal RNA (482 nucleotides) under uncultured bacterium. RNAcentral's name for it is "partial 16S ribosomal RNA". It matches the Rfam family "Bacterial small subunit ribosomal RNA", at positions 30 to 507 of the family's 1533-position model. The record is from RNAcentral.